Molecule: unclassified non-coding RNA, 200 nt
Filed under: soil metagenome
Description: partial contains internal transcribed spacer 2 and large subunit ribosomal RNA
Source: RNAcentral
CCUGUUCGAGCGUCAUUUAAACCCUCAAGCCCUGCUUGGUAUUGGGUGCGGCCCCCGGGCCUCCCGCAACUCGUUGGGCGGGACCGUCUGGCUCUAAGCGUAGCAGAAUCUUCCCUCGCUUCGGAGCUCCAGGCGGCCCUCGCCCGGAAACCACUCUAGAGUUUGACCUCGGAUCAGGUAGGGAUACCCGCUGAACUUAA